AUGCUAGCUCUUAGGGGCUUUGGCCUAAAAUGCAUAGGGUGUAUGAAAAGUCUAACUCGGAGAGGCUCUGUUGGAAUCAAGUUGAAUGGGGAAGGAAGUGGUUUCUUCUUAAUAGGCAAAGGCUUGAAACAAGGAGAUCCUUUUUCUCCCCUCCUUUUUAAUUUGGUGAUAGAUGUUUUUUCUAGGAUGAUGAUCAAAGGGGCACAAGCUGGUUUGGUUAGAGGCUUGUGGCCUGAAUUUGUGGAUGGGGUGGUUAUGUGUCUACAAUAUGCAGAUGAUACCCUCUUGUUCCUUCAAAAAGAUAGUAGAGUUGCUCUGGAUCUGAAGUGGAUACUAACCUGUUUUGGGCAAGUGUCAGGCAUGAGGAUUAAUUAUCAUAAAAGUGCCCUGGUCCCCAUUAACAUGGAACCAAUGGAGUUGAAAAGUUUUUUAGAUAUCUUUCAAUGUGUAGUUGGGCAGUUUCCCAUUAAGCACUUGGGAAUCCCUCUGCACUUUAAUAAGCUUAGUAGGGAAGAUCUCCAGUUUUUAAUUGAUAAAAUUUUGGCUGGAAUAGCUAGGUGGAGAGGCAAGUUGUUAUCCUUCCUAGGAAAGGUAACUUUGAUCAAAUCAUGUUUGGCUAGUAUCCCAUUGUAUCUACUAUCUUUUAUUAAGUUUCCCAAGUGGGCCCUUCAGCUCAUUAAUUCCCACAUGGCUAACUGUCUCUAGAGUGGUAGUGAGGGGAAUCAUAAAAUCCACCUUGCUAACUGGCAAUCUAUUUGCAUGAGGAAGGAAUUUGGGGGAAUGGGAGUGCUAAAUCUGCAAGAUAUGAAUGUAUGUCUGAUAGGAUCUUGGAAGAGGUAUAUCGUCAGGGAAGGGUCCCUCUAGAGGAGGGUUAUUGAUAGUAAAUAUAACACCAAAAAACCCAAUGUUCUUUGCUGCCAUGAUAACAAUUCUUCUCAAUUCUGGAAGAGUUUUUUGUGGGCAAUGCAAGCGGUGAGAGUGGUGUAUAGGUGGGCAGUAGGAGAUUGUAGGCAGAUUAGGUUUUGGGAAGAUAUUUGGCAUGGGAAUGCUCCUUUGGCUACACAAUUCUGGAAUCAGUAUUACUUAGUUAAUGAAAAAAAACAAGACCAUUUCAGAGUUGUGGGAUGGUCAAGUCUUGAAUGCUCUUUUAGAAGAACCUUUUUUCAUGAACUUAUGAUCCAAUGGUUUGAUCUGAUUAAUAUUCUCAAACUCACUAAAUUUAGCCAGGAGAAUGACUCCUUGAUCUGGCAGUAUGAAUCUAAAGGGGUUUAUUCUUCAAAGUCUCUGUAUGUAAUAGUUAACUUUAGAGGCAUACUCCCUCCAUUCCUUUAUAUAAGGUGUAUUUGUUUUUUGAUAAAAUUCCACAAUGUAAGGUGCAUUUCUUCUAAUUCCUCGUAA
This 1398-nucleotide ribosomal RNA is filed under the name Triticum aestivum (bread wheat). RNAcentral's name for it is "partial small subunit ribosomal RNA". Lineage: Eukaryota; Viridiplantae; Streptophyta; Magnoliopsida; Poales; Poaceae. The record is from RNAcentral.